This 200-nucleotide ribosomal RNA is filed under the name uncultured bacterium. RNAcentral's name for it is "partial 16S ribosomal RNA". It matches the Rfam family "Bacterial small subunit ribosomal RNA", at positions 29 to 256 of the family's 1533-position model. The record is from RNAcentral.
AGCGAACGCUGGCGGCAGGCCUAAUACAUGCAAGUCGAGCGGUCCCUUCGGGGGCAGCGGCGGACGGGUGAGUAACGCGUGGGAACGUGCCCUUUGGUACGGAACAACUGAGGGAAACUUCAGCUAAUACCGUAUGUGCCCUUCGGGGGAAAGAUUUAUUGCCAUUGGAGCGGCCCGCGUUGGAUUAGGUAGUUGGUGAG